Long non-coding RNA from Acanthochromis polyacanthus (spiny chromis), 318 nucleotides. RefSeq lists it as uncharacterized. The record is from RefSeq and is a predicted model, not a curated record. Lineage: Eukaryota; Metazoa; Chordata; Actinopteri; Pomacentridae. The transcript is spliced from 3 exons.
AGAAGAAGUAUCCAAACCAUGACUCCAUUCUACAUGGGUAUCUACAUUUUGAGGCACUGACAGAGCAUGACUACAAUUUUUCCUGUGUAAAUUGUGGGGUCCACCCACCUGUCGUUAUAAUGGACCUACACAAAAAAGGAGUUUUUAGUAUGCCAGUGAGUGACAUUGAAGAUCCCUCGCCAGAGUUUGAUGGACAUGUGGAUAUCGAGGCAUUUUGGCACUCAGUUGAGCGAGAGAUUGUUUGCAGGGGUUUUUUAAAAAGUAAUCGUGACAAUCCCUGCAAAGUCUCUCCUUCGUUUGAGAAAUGGGCGCCAUGGA